Molecule: ribosomal RNA, 427 nt
Filed under: uncultured marine bacterium
Lineage: Bacteria
Description: bacterial SSU rRNA
Rfam family: Bacterial small subunit ribosomal RNA
Source: RNAcentral
AAUCUUAGACAAUGGGCGAAAGCCUGAUCUAGCCAUGCCGCGUGAGUGACGAAGGCCUUAGGGUCGUAAAGCUCUUUCGCCAGAGAUGAUAAUGACAGUAUCUGGUAAAGAAACCCCGGCUAACUCCGUGCCAGCAGCCGCGGUAAUACGGAGGGGGUUAGCGUUGUUCGGAAUUACUGGGCGUAAAGCGUACGUAGGCGGAUUGGAAAGUAGGGGGUGAAAUCCCGGGGCUCAACCCUGGAACUGCCUCCUAAACUAUCAGUCUAGAGUUCGAGAGAGGUGAGUGGAAUUCCAAGUGUAGAGGUGAAAUUCGUAGAUAUUUGGAGGAACACCAGUGGCGAAGGCGGCUCACUGGCUCGAUACUGACGCUGAGGUACGAAAGUGUGGGGAGCAAACAGGAUUAGAUACCCUGGUAGUCCACACCGUA